GCAAUAGUAUAGGGAACUCAGGAGGUGGGUCAGCGAUCCCCGGUGAAAGGGGGUGGUGCUGUGACCGUCUACCAAGCGCUAACGCUAAUGAUUGCUUUUGCCAGUUUAGUUGUUACGAUUAUCGCUUUAACACAAAAAAAGUAACCCACCCUUGAGCCUGCCAGCAUUUAGAGUGGAUUACGUCCUGAUUUAUUUGCUGAUGCCCCUUGAAGGAACAUGCUAUUGCAUGACCGUUUGGUGUUGCGAGCACCGGCG
This 255-nucleotide small RNA is filed under the name Mesobacillus campisalis. RNAcentral's name for it is "Bacillus campisalis BsrG". It matches the Rfam family "BsrG". From Rfam's summary of the family: bsrE, bsrG and bsrH pair through intermolecular interactions with antisense sRNAs. SR4 interaction with the 3'UTR of bsrG RNA promotes bsrG degradation and inhibits its translation. Lineage: Bacteria; Bacillati; Bacillota; Bacilli; Caryophanales; Bacillaceae. The record is from Rfam by way of RNAcentral.